GCCACUCAGUUGGUUAGAGUGUCAUACUAAUAAUGCGAAGGUCUUGGGUUCAACCCCACGAUGGCC
This is a non-coding RNA of Mycena olivaceomarginata, 66 nucleotides long. The record is from the annotation of a GenBank genome assembly. NCBI's taxonomy places the organism in Eukaryota, Fungi, Basidiomycota, Agaricomycetes, Agaricales, Mycenaceae.